AUAAGGGUCACCAUAGUGACAAAAAUAAUGACAAAAUGACAUGUGACAUUGAUAACGAAAUAAAGAAAAUUAAUUAUAUUUAUUUUCGAAAUAAAAUAAAAGCAAAGUAUAAUCGGAAUAAAGUUUUGCGAAAGCGACAUAAACGUGUUGUUUCGAAAUCUAGGAAGACUUCCACGUCAUCAAAGUUGUACGAGCAUUGCCGGUGAAGGGAUAAGAAGGUGAGCUACUUCAUCUUCGUGAGAAGAUGAUGUCCACGGCAGAGCUACUUCAUCUUCAAUAUGAAGGAAGAUGAAGAUAACCAAUGUGGUCAAGCCUGUGUUAUUUUUAUAAGUUUUUUUU
Helicoverpa zea (corn earworm) is the source of this 339-nucleotide long non-coding RNA. RefSeq lists it as uncharacterized. The record is from RefSeq and is a predicted model, not a curated record. The transcript has 2 exons. NCBI's taxonomy places the organism in Eukaryota, Metazoa, Arthropoda, Insecta, Lepidoptera, Noctuidae.